RNAcentral lists this ribosomal RNA (447 nucleotides) under Triticum aestivum (bread wheat). RNAcentral's name for it is "partial small subunit ribosomal RNA". Lineage: Eukaryota; Viridiplantae; Streptophyta; Magnoliopsida; Poales; Poaceae. The record is from RNAcentral.
AUGGCGACACAGAGACUUUCCCCUCCAACAUUGGUGCUGACAGAUGCGUUGCUGGAACAGAAUUUGUCAACGCCGGAAGCGAAAUCGAAGAAGUGUGAUCUUCUGAAUGACUGCAUUCACAUGGGUAUGUCGAUGGAUGGCUGGUUCGCACGGUAUGCACCCGACCAGGAAAGAGAGAUCGAUAAGCAAAACUCAAUGGCAUUAUUCAUUGCAGCACGCGCCCCUUCGCAUCUGAUCGCCAUGGACGUACAACUGGUCUGGAGCCUUGGCCUUCUUAUCAAAUUCGCCAUGUAUUUGGAACUAGGAUCUCAUUGUCUACAUCAUAUGUGUCUAUCAGCUCACAUGCCACAUUCUUCCCUUCCCAUUUUAAAACCAACAAUAAUCGGGUCGUCGGUUUACAAUAUACCUAUCUGCUUACGUUUAUUAACUUCCAAGAUAUUUUUGUAA